AGAGUUUGAUCAUGGCUCAGGAUGAACGUUGGCGGCGUGCCUAAUACAUGCAAGUCGAACGGAGAUCGUAGCAAUACGGUCUCAGUGGCGAACGGGUGAGUAACGCGUGGGUGACCUGCCCCGAAGUGUGGGAUAACAGUCCGAAAGGAUUGCUAAUACUGCAUAAUAUCCAAGAGAUUAGAUGCUUUUGGAUUAAAGGAGUAAUUCGCUUCGGGAGGGGCCCGCGUCCCAUCAGCUAGUUGGUAAGGUAAUGGCUUACCAAGGCGAUGACGGGUAGGGGACCUGAGAGGGUGGCCCCCCACAAUGGAACUGAAACACGGUCCAUACACCUACGGGUGGCAGCAGUAGGGAAUAUUAGUAAUGGGCGAAAGCCUGAACUAGCAACGCCGCGUGUGCGAAGAAGGCCUUCGGGUUGUAAAGCACUUUUUGAGAGGAUGAGGAAGGACGGUACUCUCAGAAUAAGUCUCGGCUAACUACGUGCCAGCAGCCGCGGUAACACGUAGGAGGCAAACGUUAUCCGGAUUUACUGGGCGUAAAGCGCGUGUAGGUGGUUUGGUAAGUAGGGCGUGAAAGCUCCUGGCUCAACUGGGAGAGGACGUUCUAAACUGCCAAGCUUGAGGAUGGUAGAGGGAGGUGGAAUUCCGGGUGUAGCGGUGGAAUGCGCAGAUAUCCGGAGGAACACCAGUGGCGAAGGCGGCCUCCUGGACCACUCCUGACACUCAGACGCGAAAGCUAGGGUAGCAAACGGGAUUAGAGACCCCGGUAGUCCUAGCCCUAAACGAUGUAGACUUGGCGUCGGUGGUUUAAUCGCCAUCGGUGUCGUAGCUAACGCGUUAAGUCUACCGCCUGGGGACUACGGCCGCAAGGUUAAAACUCAAAUGAAUUGACGG
This 890-nucleotide ribosomal RNA is filed under the name uncultured bacterium. RNAcentral's name for it is "bacterial SSU rRNA". It matches the Rfam family "Bacterial small subunit ribosomal RNA", at positions 8 to 916 of the family's 1533-position model. The record is from RNAcentral.